This 172-nucleotide small nuclear RNA is filed under the name Betta splendens (Siamese fighting fish). RNAcentral's name for it is "U2 spliceosomal RNA (ENSBSLG00000004680.1)". It matches the Rfam family "U2 spliceosomal RNA". From Rfam's summary of the family: U2 is a small nuclear RNA (snRNA) component of the spliceosome (involved in pre-mRNA splicing). Complementary binding between U2 snRNA (in an area lying towards the 5' end but 3' to hairpin I) and the branchpoint sequence (BPS) of the intron results the bulging out of an unpaired adenosine, on the BPS, which initiates a nucleophilic attack at the intronic 5' splice site, thus starting the first of two transesterification reactions that mediate splicing. The record is from RNAcentral. Lineage: Eukaryota; Metazoa; Chordata; Actinopteri; Anabantiformes; Osphronemidae.
AUCUGUUCUUAAAAAAAAAUCUGUUCUUAUCAGUUUAAUAUCUGAUACGUCCCCUACCCGGGGACCAUAUAUUAAAUUGAUUUUUGGAGCAGGGAGAUGGAAUAGGGGCUUGCUCCGUCCACUCCACGCAUCGACCCAGUAUUGCAGUACUUCUGGGAACGGUGCACCCCCU